AAUACGGAGGAAAAGAAACCAACUGGGAUUACCUUAGUAACGGCGAGUGAAGCGGUAAAAGCUCAAAUUUGAAAUCUGGUACUUUCAGUGCCCGAGUUGUAAUUUGUAGAAUUUGUCUUUGAUUAGGUCCUUGUCUAUGUUCCUUGGAACAGGACGUCAUAGAGGGUGAGAAUCCCGUUUGGCGAGGAUACCUUUUCUCUGUAAGACUUUUUCGAAGAGUCGAGUUGUUUGGGAAUGCAGCUCAAAGUGGGUGGUAAAUUCCAUCUAAAGCUAAAUAUUGGCGAGAGACCGAUAGCGAACAAGUACAGUGAUGGAAAGAUGAAAAGAACUUUGAAAAGAGAGUGAAAAAGUACGUGAAAUUGUUGAAAGGGAAGGGCAUUUGAUCAGACAUGGUGUUUUUUGCAUGCACUCGCCUCUCGUGGGCUUGGGCCUCUCAAAAAUUUCACUGGGCCAACAUCAAUUCUGGCAGCAGGAUAAAUCAUUAAGAAUGUAGCUACUUCGGUAGUGUUAUAGCUUUUUGGAAUACUGUUAGCCGGGAUUGAGGACUGCGCUUCGGCAAGGAUGUUGGCAUAAUGGUUA
This 579-nucleotide ribosomal RNA is filed under the name Hanseniaspora uvarum. RNAcentral describes it as "eukaryotic LSU rRNA". It matches the Rfam family "Eukaryotic large subunit ribosomal RNA", at positions 45 to 640 of the family's 3401-position model. The record is from RNAcentral. Lineage: Eukaryota; Fungi; Ascomycota; Saccharomycetes; Saccharomycodales; Saccharomycodaceae.